RNAcentral lists this ribosomal RNA (162 nucleotides) under uncultured bacterium. RNAcentral describes it as "partial 16S ribosomal RNA". It matches the Rfam family "Bacterial small subunit ribosomal RNA", at positions 355 to 509 of the family's 1533-position model. The record is from RNAcentral.
UAGGGAAUUUUCGUCAAUGGGCGCUAGCCUGAACGAGCAAUGCCGCGUGAACGAGGAAGGUCUUCGGAUCGUAAAGUUCUGUUGAAGGGGAAAAAGAGCGGAGAGAGGAAAUGGUCUCCGAUUGAUAUUACCCUUCGAGGAAGUCACGGCUAACUACGUGCC